Molecule: ribosomal RNA, 448 nt
Filed under: Titanogrypa luculenta
Lineage: Eukaryota; Metazoa; Arthropoda; Insecta; Diptera; Sarcophagidae
Description: partial 16S ribosomal RNA
Rfam family: Bacterial large subunit ribosomal RNA
Source: RNAcentral
UUUAAAUGGCCGCAGUAUACUAACUGUGCAAAGGUAGCAUAAUCAUUAGUCUUUUAAUUGAAGGCUGGUAUGAAUGGUUGGACGAAAUAUUAACUGUUUCAUGGAAAUUUAUAAUAGAAUUUUAUUUUUUAGUCAAAAAGCUAAAAUUAAAUUAAAAGACGAGAAGACCCUAUAAAUCUUUAUAUUUAGAUUAUUAGAAUUUUGUAGAAUAUUUUUGUUAUAAUAAUUGAUUAUAUUUUAUUGGGGUGAUAUUAAAAUUUAAUAAACUUUUAAUUUAUAAAAAUCAUUAAUUUAUGAAUUUUUGAUCCGUUAAUAACGAUUAAAAAAACAAGUUACUUUAGGGAUAACAGCGUAAUUUUUUUGGAGAGUUCUUAUCGAUAAAAAAGAUUGCGACCUCGAUGUUGGAUUAAGAUAUAAUUUUAGGUGUAGCCGCUUAAAUUUUAAGUCU